RNAcentral lists this ribosomal RNA (854 nucleotides) under Enterococcus casseliflavus. Its description in RNAcentral is "bacterial SSU rRNA". It matches the Rfam family "Bacterial small subunit ribosomal RNA", at positions 72 to 905 of the family's 1533-position model. The record is from RNAcentral. Lineage: Bacteria; Bacillati; Bacillota; Bacilli; Lactobacillales; Enterococcaceae.
CCCGGAGCUUGCUCCACCGAAAGAAAAAGAGUGGCGAACGGGUGAGUAACACGUGGGUAACCUGCCCAUCAGAAGGGGAUAACACUUGGAAACAGGUGCUAAUACCGUAUAACACUAUUUUCCGCAUGGAAGAAAGUUGAAAGGCGCUUUUGCGUCACUGAUGGAUGGACCCGCGGUGCAUUAGCUAGUUGGUGAGGUAACGGCUCACCAAGGCAACGAUGCAUAGCCGACCUGAGAGGGUGAUCGGCCACACUGGGACUGAGACACGGCCCAGACUCCUACGGGAGGCAGCAGUAGGGAAUCUUCGGCAAUGGACGAAAGUCUGACCGAGCAACGCCGCGUGAGUGAAGAAGGUUUUCGGAUCGUAAAACUCUGUUGUUAGAGAAGAACAAGGAUGAGAGUAAAAUGUUCAUCCCUUGACGGUAUCUAACCAGAAAGCCACGGCUAACUACGUGCCAGCAGCCGCGGUAAUACGUAGGUGGCAAGCGUUGUCCGGAUUUAUUGGGCGUAAAGCGAGCGCAGGCGGUUUCUUAAGUCUGAUGUGAAAGCCCCCGGCUCAACCGGGGAGGGUCAUUGGAAACUGGGAGACUUGAGUGCAGAAGAGGAGAGUGGAAUUCCAUGUGUAGCGGUGAAAUGCGUAGAUAUAUGGAGGAACACCAGUGGCGAAGGCGGCUCUCUGGUCUGUAACUGACGCUGAGGCUCGAAAGCGUGGGGAGCGAACAGGAUUAGAUACCCUGGUAGUCCACGCCGUAAACGAUGAGUGCUAAGUGUUGGAGGGUUUCCGCCCUUCAGUGCUGCAGCAAACGCAUUAAGCACUCCGCCUGGGGAGUACGACCGCAAGGUUGAAACUCAAA